RNAcentral lists this unclassified non-coding RNA (345 nucleotides) under soil metagenome. RNAcentral's name for it is "partial contains 5.8S ribosomal RNA, internal transcribed spacer 2, and large subunit ribosomal RNA". The stretch from base 1 to 119 matches the Rfam family "5.8S ribosomal RNA", at positions 35 to 154 of the family's 154-position model. The record is from RNAcentral.
GAUGAAGAACGUAGCGAAAUGCGAUACGUAAUGUGAAUUGCAAAUUCAGUGAAUCAUCGAGUCUUUGAACGCACAUUGCGCCCCCUGGUAUUCCGGGGGGCAUGCCUGUCCGAGCGUCAUUGCUGCCCUCAAGCACGGCUUGUGUGUUGGGCCCCGUCCUCCGAUCCCGGGGGACGGGCCCGAAAGGCAGCGGCAGCACCGCGUCCGGUCCUCGAGCGUAUGGGGCUUUGUCACCCGCUCUGUAGGCCCGGCCGGCGCUUGCCGAUCAACCCAAAUUUUUAUCCAGGUUGACCUCGGAUCAGGUAGGGAUACCCGCUGAACUUAAGCAUAUCAAUAAGCGGAGGA